RNAcentral lists this ribosomal RNA (492 nucleotides) under uncultured bacterium. RNAcentral's name for it is "partial 16S ribosomal RNA". It matches the Rfam family "Bacterial small subunit ribosomal RNA", at positions 29 to 507 of the family's 1533-position model. The record is from RNAcentral.
AGUGAACGCUGGCGGUAGGCCUAACACAUGCAAGUCGAACGGCAGCACAGUAAGAGCUUGCUCUUACGGGUGGCGAGUGGCGGACGGGUGAGGAAUACAUCGGAAUCUACUUUUUCGUGGGUGAGAACGUAGGGGAACUUACGCUAAUACCGCAUACGACCUACGGGGGAAAGCAGGGGAUCUUCGGACCUUGCGCGAUUGAAUGAGCCGAUGUCGGAUUAGCUAGUUGGCGGGGUAAAGGCGCACCAAGGCGACGAUCCGUAGCUGGUCUGAGAGGAUGAUCAGCCACACUGGAGCUGAGACACGGUCCAGACUCCUACGGGAGGCAGCAGUGGGGAAUAUUGGACAAUGGGCGAAAGCCUGAUCCAGCCAUACCGCGUGGGUGAAGAAGGCCUUCGGGUUGUAAAGCCCUUUUGUUGGGAAAGAAAAGCAGCAGGUUAAUACCCCGCUGUUCUGACGGUACCCAAAGAAUAAGCACCGGCUAACUUCGUG